Hippopotamus amphibius kiboko is the source of this 964-nucleotide long non-coding RNA. RefSeq lists it as uncharacterized. The transcript is spliced from 3 exons. NCBI's taxonomy places the organism in Eukaryota, Metazoa, Chordata, Mammalia, Artiodactyla, Hippopotamidae. The record is from RefSeq and is a predicted model, not a curated record.
GGGGGUGAGGUGAUGGGAAAUACAGAGUUAGCCUCCCCAAGUUGAGAACACCGUGGCCUCCCUGCCUCCCAUCAACCCAGGUUAGGAGGGAUCUGCUGAUAUCAAGAGGAGGAAGGAAAGAGUCUACUCUGUCUUCAGGAGGCAUCUCACUGUGUGCCAGAUUUAAUUCUCAACAACCAGAUAAGGCCAACUCCUGAAGGCUGAGCCCACUUGCCAGAUGAGGAAACUGAGUCUCUGGAUCUUCUCAUGGCCCCACCCACUUCCUCCUGCCCGGAGAAAAGAGGAACAGGGAACAGACACCCCCAUGAGUCAUCUUCGGUGAAUAUGAGAACAAAUCACCCGUGCUGAGUGCCUGCGGAAUGCCCAGCCCUGCAUGGAGGGCUUCUGGGGUGUCGGCUUAUUCAUCCCUCCUGUCCGUUGUAUGAGGGAGGUAUUAUGAUCCCUAUUUUAUGGAGCAUGUGGAGGCCCUGAGAGGUCCUGAGAGGUUAAGCAACAUGCCGAAGGUCACACAGCCAGGAAGCAGCAGAGUGUGAUUGGAACCCAGACCUGUCCAAGCCCAAAGUCCAUGCCCUACUGCUGCUCUGUAAUACACUCAUGUGCUCCCACCAGGUCUGGUUCCGUGAUCCAAGUACCACAAUCAUCCCAUUUAUCAGAAGGGUAAACUGAGGCUCUAAGAGAUGGAGUCACUUGAGUGAGAUCAUACAGCCGGAAGGGGCAAAGCCAAGGUUUGAAUCCUUGGGUUCAGUUGACUGUGGAGCCCAUUUCCUUCCAGCAAACGACACAGCUGCUUGUCUUUCCAGGCUUCUAUUUCCUCAUCUGAUGAAGGGGGGUGAGGACAAUGUCCACCUCAUGGGCUCCACGUGAGGAUCAGAGGUGGUACAUAUCAAUCACCCAGCUCAGUACCUGGCAGUUAGUAGGUGCUUUAAAAAUGAUGGCUGUGAUUAUUUGUGUAAAGGUGGCUGCA